CGUGAGCAACCUGCCUAUUAGAGGGAAUAACAGUGAGAAAUCAUUGCUAAUACCGCAUAUGCUUACACUAUUGCAUGAUAGAGUAAGGAAAGGAGCAAUCCGCUAAUAGAUGGGCCCGCGUCUGAUUAGCUAGUUGGUGGGGUAGAAGCCUACCAAGGCGACGAUCAGUAGCCGGACUGAGAGGUUGAACGGCCACAUUGGGACUGAGAUACGGCCCAGACUCCUACGGGAGGCAGCAG
RNAcentral lists this ribosomal RNA (239 nucleotides) under uncultured bacterium. Its description in RNAcentral is "partial 16S ribosomal RNA". It matches the Rfam family "Bacterial small subunit ribosomal RNA", at positions 116 to 354 of the family's 1533-position model. The record is from RNAcentral.